CGCGGUGCGAGUGUUGCAUAUUCCCAUUCCCUGCAAGUGCAGUAAAAGACAGAAAUAACCAAUCGACGUCUAUGAUUAAGUAUGUUAUCAAAAAUUCUCAUGUGAGUGCAGCAAGUUACAUGGCUGCAAAUGCCAUUGAUCGGCAUAAUAAGCCCUUUCAAGAGGUCGAGUUUUUGAGGGAAGCCUGGUAAGCAUACGCGUCCUCACUUUUUGAAGAUUUUGAUGAUAAAGGUAUUUUCUUCCACUUUUGGAGAUAAAUUUGGCUGCAUGUCUUUUCUACAAUCAUCAUUUUCUACGAUUUAAAGGGAAUCUCAAAAUUAGUUUUUAAAAGAAAUCAUAAUGAUGAAAAGUGUUCAAAAACGCAAGCAUUCUCCAGUCGUUUCGGAUGAGAAUUCAGCAUCUUCAGUGCUAACAGAAACAGAUCCAGAAAAGCAAAAGCUUGACUCAUUGAAAAAAGUCAAAGAGGGCGAAGUAUCUACCAUUGUUCAGGAUGCCAACGCUAGUAGUGAUAAUCCCAGCAGAGAUAAUUCAACAAAUUACCUAUGUUGCAUUUGCAUAGAAUCAGUUCCCCGAAAGAAAAUGAAGUGCCUCUCGUGCUCACAUGCGUUCCAUAAAAUAUGUAUUAACAAGUGGUUGAAGAAGAGAAGAAGAUGUCCUUUAUGUCGUGAGAAGAUCAUGUAUCACAGUAACAAGAAGUAACAUUUCUGUGAUACUCUCUUGUUAAUGUGAGAGAUGGUACCAUUUAUAAGGCAAGAAUUGUA
Argiope bruennichi is the source of this 761-nucleotide long non-coding RNA. RefSeq lists it as uncharacterized. The transcript is spliced from 3 exons. The record is from RefSeq and is a predicted model, not a curated record. Lineage: Eukaryota; Metazoa; Arthropoda; Arachnida; Araneae; Araneidae.